RNAcentral lists this ribosomal RNA (1767 nucleotides) under Triticum aestivum (bread wheat). RNAcentral describes it as "partial small subunit ribosomal RNA". Lineage: Eukaryota; Viridiplantae; Streptophyta; Magnoliopsida; Poales; Poaceae. The record is from RNAcentral.
AUGAUCAUAAGUGGCGAUACAAUGAACGGAGUGGUAGAGCCAGCGCAGCGUGUAUGGAAUACUUGGGGCAUGCAUAUGUUGGUUCUGCUGAGCUUCACAGUCCAGGUCACGCUCCAAGUCUUUGCCGAAAUCCGUCGGCGCAGAAGUUCCGGCAUAUUACUUGGCAUUGUUUGGUCUGCAUACAUGCUGGCCGACACGGUGGCAGUAUACACCCUCGGCCAUUUCUUCACCACCAACAGUUCGGUUGAACAUGUCCUUAUGGUGCUAUGGGCGCCAUUGCUGCUGGUGCACCUUGGCGGCCAGGACAACAUCACCGCCUUAUCCAUUGAGGACAACCAGCUGUGGCUACGCCACCUGCAGAACUUGGGCGUGCAGGUUGUUGCAACAGCCUCUGUCCUCUACCAGUCUUCCAUGCUCAGCCACCCAGCCUGGCUCCGUGCAGCCACUAUCCUUAUGUUUAUGGUUGGGGUUCUGAAGUACGGCGAGAGAGUAUGGGCCCUCAAGCGGGCCAGCGGUGAACCCAGUAGGGGGUUCGUGGAUAUAUUUCAAGAAAAGCAGUGGGAACAGGGGGCUGACAAGCUGUACCACAAGAUGCAGAUGAAGAUCUCGCAGGUGUACGACGUCUUCUAUGGCAAGAGUCUGGUCAUGUUCUCACCGUACGGCAUCUGCAUCCGUGUCAUCUGCCCGCUGGCCACUGUCGCGGCACUCCUUCUUUUUCAUCUAGUCGGUGAUAAAGAUGGUUUGAAUAGUAUGGACGUCACUGCCACUUACAUUCUGCUAGUUGGCGCCCUUGUCCUGGAGACCACAUCAGCGUUUAGGCUCAUAUUCCCGAAGAUGUUGAAAGGUAGAUGGUGUGGCCGUCAUCAUGAAUCUAUCGAGGAGUUAAUCUACUCAUCUAUGCAGAAAGCAGGGAUACAUUCAAUGUAUUGGUCAGGCUCUAUGGGGCAACUAGACUUAUUUGACAUGUGCCGUCGGACGAGGAGCAGUCCACUCGGCAAAAUAGCGACAUGGAUGGGGAGGUGGGGCCGGUGGAUUAGGCUGGAUUUCUCUUGGUCCAUCCCCGUCCCGACAGAGAUCAUCCAGAUGCUCAUGGAGAUGAUGUCAGACGAGAACUUGGACCAAUCAUGGCCGGAUGGUGGUGAAGCAACUCACCGUCUAGACCCCGAAAAGAAAACAGAAGAGGUAAUCCUCAAGUGGCACAUCGGCACCCAAGUCUACCUCAAGUGGUACAAGGAGCAACAAGCCGAGGAGAUACAUGGCUUCACCAAGGCAAUAGAGGCGCUCUCCAAUUACGCAGUUUUCCUGCUUGCAGCACAUCCCCUGCCGCCUCCUGUCUUUCCUUAUGAGAACCCAUUCACACUGAAGAAUAUAAUGAAAUGUGCGAAACACAGAUCGGCGGGCAAGCAUCUAUUGAGGUUACUUUCGAACCGUAACGCUAGGUACAAUUAUGGUUCUGACCAAAUAUGUUUUACUGAGCUCUAUGGGGAUUCCGUUGGUAAAACAUUUGAGAGUGGGUUUCAGAUUGGCGCACAGCUGAUAACGGGUGGCAUGAGUAUUGACAAAUCAUUGGCCCUUUUUUGGAUGGAAAUGCUGAAAAAGUUAGAGCAGAAGUUGGGUGAGGAUUUUCAUGUCAAACAGCUCAGCAAUGGCGGCGAACUGCUAACCUUCCUUACCAUUCUCGUGCAAGAAGAAACCGAGUCAAUGGAAGGGGAUGAGACGCCAUUGGCGAAGCCGACAUGGCCAGUUAUGAGCAGAGGCCGGAGGUAA